RNAcentral lists this ribosomal RNA (460 nucleotides) under uncultured bacterium. RNAcentral describes it as "partial 16S ribosomal RNA". It matches the Rfam family "Bacterial small subunit ribosomal RNA", at positions 338 to 795 of the family's 1533-position model. The record is from RNAcentral.
CCUACGGGUGGCAGCAGUGAGGAAUAUUGGUCAAUGGACGAGAGUCUGAACCAGCCAAGUAGCGUGAAGGAUGACUGCCCUAUGGGUUGUAAACUUCUUUUAUAUGGGAAUAAAAUGUUCCACGUGUGGGAUUUUGUAUGUACCAUAUGAAUAAGGAUCGGCUAACUCCGUGCCAGCAGCCGCGGUAAUACGGAGGAUCCGAGCGUUAUCCGGAUUUAUUGGGUUUAAAGGGAGCGUAGGUGGAUUGUUAAAUCAGUUGUGAAAGUUUGCGGCUAAACCGUAAAAUUGCAGUUGAAACUGGCAGUCUUGAGUACAGUAGAGGUGGGCGGAAUUCGUGGUGUAGCGGUGAAAUGCUUAGAUAUCACGAAGAACUCCGAUUGCGAAGGCAGUUCACUGGACUGCAACUGACACUGAGGCUCGAAAGUGUGGGUAUCAAACAGGAUUAGAUACCCGAGUAGUC